RNAcentral lists this long non-coding RNA (385 nucleotides) under Panax ginseng (ginseng). RNAcentral describes it as "long non-coding RNA (PGIN_LNC006351)". The record is from RNAcentral. Lineage: Eukaryota; Viridiplantae; Streptophyta; Magnoliopsida; Apiales; Araliaceae.
GUACCUCGCUUUCAUUUCCGAUUCCAACUCCCAAGUUAUUUUCUCAAUAGCAUGGUUCCUCCACAAAACCUUAACUUGUGGUAUAACCUUGGUGCGUAGGACAUGCGCUUUCCUAUCCAAGAUCUUAACAUGUACCUCUUCGUACGUUAAAUCUUCGGCUAUCUCGUCUGGUUCUAACGCAAUAAUAUGGUUCGGGUCUUUCACAUAUUUAUGAAGCAUAGAUAUGUGAAAAACAUUAUGAACACGGGACAUACUUGGAGGUAACGCGAGUCUAUAGGCCACAUUUCCUAUUCGGUCAAGAAUCUCAAAUGGACCAACAAAUCUUGGAUUGAGCUUUCUUCUUUUCCCAAAUCUUGUAACUCCCUUCCAUGGAGCAAUACGUAAC